Molecule: ribosomal RNA, 231 nt
Filed under: uncultured eukaryote
Lineage: Eukaryota
Description: partial 18S ribosomal RNA
Rfam family: Eukaryotic small subunit ribosomal RNA
Source: RNAcentral
GGGAAACUUACCAGGUCAAAACAUGGGUGGGAUUGACAGAUUGAUAGCUUUUUCUUGAUUCUGCGGGUGGUGGUGGUGGUGCAUGGCCGUUCUUAGUUGGUGGAGUGAUUUGUCUGGUUAAUUCCGUUAACGAACGAGACCUUAACCUGCUAACUAGUCUUCUGGUUACUCACUGGUUCGACUUCUUAGAGGGACUAUGCGAUUCAAGCGCAUGGAAGUUUGAGGCAAUAA